Molecule: unclassified non-coding RNA, 244 nt
Filed under: uncultured fungus
Lineage: Eukaryota; Fungi
Description: partial contains 5.8S ribosomal RNA, internal transcribed spacer 2, and large subunit ribosomal RNA
Rfam family: 5.8S ribosomal RNA (bases 1-52)
Source: RNAcentral
AACGCACAUUGCGCCCCGUGGUAUUCCGCGGGGCAUGCCUGUUCGAGCGUCAUUUCACCACUCGAGUCUGACUCGGUAUUGGGCGCCGCGCACCGCCGCGCGCCUCAAAGUCCCCGGCUGGGCGGGCCCGUCCCCGAGCGUUGUGAUCUCACAGUCUCGCUAGGGAGUCGCGUCCGCCGGCGGCCGUUAAACACCCCCAUCACAGGUUGACCUCGGAUCAGGUAGGGAUACCCGCUGAACUUAA